Molecule: ribosomal RNA, 460 nt
Filed under: uncultured bacterium
Lineage: Bacteria
Description: partial 16S ribosomal RNA
Rfam family: Bacterial small subunit ribosomal RNA
Source: RNAcentral
CCUACGGGUGGCAGCAGUGAGGAAUAUUGGUCAAUGGACGGAAGUCUGAACCAGCCAUGCCGCGUGCAGGAAGACGGCUCUAUGAGUUGUAAACUGCUUUUGUACGGGAGUAAACCUGAAUACGUGUAUUCAGCUGAAAGUACUGUACGAAUAAGGAUCGGCUAACUCCGUGCCAGCAGCCGCGGUAAUACGGAGGAUCCGAGCGUUAUCCGGAUUUAUUGGGUUUAAAGGGUGCGUAGGCGGAUUGAUAAGUGAGCGGUGAAAUGUCCGAGCUGAACUCGGGAACUGCCUUUAAAACUGGUGAUCUAGAGAGUAGAUGCGGUAGGCGGAAUGGAUGGUGUAGCGGUGAAAUGCUUAGAGAUCAUACAGAACACCGAUUGCGAAGGCAGCUUACCAAUCCAUAUCUGACGUUGAGGCACGAAAGCGUGGGGAGCAAACAGGAUUAGAUACCCGUGUAGUC